RNAcentral lists this non-coding RNA (68 nucleotides) under bacterium 1xD8-48. The record is from RNAcentral.
UGCCGAAACAGGGGGACAACCCCCUGUCUGCCGGGGCUGGCCGCCCGGCACUGACGAGGCAGGCCGGA